UCUCCUCCAUACUUACCAGAAGUGUCAGCACUCAAGAUUUUCCAGUCAACACAGCUGAACUGUUUGUUUGCUCUUCCCCCACCAUGAUGCCUUGGAACAAAGGCAGCUGCUCUGGGAUGAGGUGACAACCAGAGCCUUUGUCCUGCAGUCAGGAAGUUUUCCAACACUGUAUGCAAGUCUAAGGAGCACAGGAAGAUGCACUCUACCAGCCAGGUAAAAAGAGGAAAAAAAAACCCCAGUAUACGUGAUGUUGUUUAUCAAGGAUAUUAUGGGCCAUAUACCAGAUCUAUCAGCAUUUGGAUCAGCAUCUCUUCUCCAUGCUUGUUCACCAUCCAUUAGUUCAUUUCCCACCAGUGUGAAGAUGCUG
Molecule: long non-coding RNA, 367 nt
Filed under: Gallus gallus (chicken)
Lineage: Eukaryota; Metazoa; Chordata; Aves; Galliformes; Phasianidae
Description: long non-coding RNA NONGGAT008385
Source: RNAcentral